RNAcentral lists this long non-coding RNA (13181 nucleotides) under Eucalyptus grandis. RNAcentral describes it as "long non-coding RNA (EGRA_LNC000091)". Lineage: Eukaryota; Viridiplantae; Streptophyta; Magnoliopsida; Myrtales; Myrtaceae. The record is from RNAcentral.
GACGAGGACGGCCUGACAGAGGAGGAGGAAGCAUGGCGAAGUUCUUUGGGGACGCGGCGUCGGUGCUGAUGAAGGUGCUGAUGAGGAAGAGCAUCAGCCUGUACGCCGAGUUCUCUUACCUCUUCACCGACCUCGCCUCCCUCGUCGUGUCGGCUCUCCGGUUCUCCACCAUCGUGGCCAGGCAACCUUCUUCUUUCCCUCCUCAUCCUUCUACGUCUUCCACUUCUGCUGCUGCUGCUGCUGCUUCGACCUCUGCUUCUUCUGCCAGAAGGUACUCGCCGAUCCUGAUGUCCAUGGCCAUCCGACACCGUGUGUACUGAGCUCGAUCGAUGCGGUUGACAUUGUGCUGCUGGAUCUUCCUUUUCUUGCCCUCUUGUCUUUUGGGGUUGGCUUACGUGGGGUGUUCGGAACUUGCCCAUGAUUCGUUCGUAUGGCGAUGAGGGGAAUCUAUGCAAGUCUCUGGUUUCCCAGGCGCAAAAUGUUUGUUCUUCUUGAUGAUGGGAUGGUUCUUGCUGGGGAUACUAUUUGGGACGCCGGUUUGUUUUUAUGAUUAUCGAGAUUUCCAGCCGCGGGACAGGUUUGAGAUUUCGUUAUGUAUGGGUUCCUGUAGGCUUGCGACCGAUCUGCGAUCUGUUUCGCAGAUGAUUAGGAAACUCGAAUUCAACGAGACAUUUUGCUCGAUUGUGUGAUGAGACUGUGUGAUGAGACGCAUCAUGUAUCAGAACAUGUAAUAACCGAUAAGUACUAAUUUACUCCUUUUCCUUUUCACAAUCUGAACAAUGGUUUUUCCAAUCAUCGUGAUUGUCUGAAUUUAGGAAAGUAAGGUGGUUUUAUUAGAUCACGUUGUUGACACCCAAAAAUGGCAAAGUGUUGCGAGAUAGCCGAUGAGCAGGGUUUGAUCGAGAAGAACAGAUUUGAUCUGAGAAUUAGGGCAGUCGAGAAGAUCGGCAAGUCGAUGUCUAGCACAAUCGACAAGAUUCUUCAUCCAGAAUUCAAGAAUUGAUCGAUAACAGCAGGCUCUAUUAGAUUUUGACCAAGUAUAAGAAGACAAUCGAUGAACGGAGUGAAAAAAUGAUUGCUUUGCUGAUUAAGAGGCAAGGGUGGCAAAUUGACGCGCGUCUGUAACUGUCAAAUGGUCAAAUCGAUAAUUUAGGUACUUGUAACUUCUUAUAGAUAAAUGUUGUUGAUGAAUGAAACUAUGGGUGAAUUUGUGAUUAUUCAAUAACUGUGUAUAUGUAAAUGUCGAUGGUGGGUUAUAAACACUUUCAGUGUAUACGUUGUAAAGGUUACUCAAUCAAUCUUAGAACAUCCAAUGUUAUUUUUCAUAAUCCUUUAAUUUGUAGCAUUAUUUACAUUGCUAGCAACUAUUGUUUUUGGUAUUCUUACCAUUAAGUUUCCAGCCAUUUACUUUCCUGUCUAAAAUCAAUAAAAAUGCCUUCACAACCAUUUAUCAAUUUAUUCAAAUCCAUCACACUUAAGGAUUUUUCACUUUUCUGGCGAAAAUGAUGAAAGUGCAAAAUCUGUCUUUUACGAUUUAGCUACUAGUCAACUGAGUCUUUAAUGUUUUAAAAAAUGUUCAAUCAAGUGAUAAACUUGUUGCUAAUAGAUUUAUAAUGUUGGAAACUCGAUGUGGCUUUCAAGCUCAUUUGUGGCCAAAUGGUAUUAAUGAAAGCUCGAGUCAGAGACAUGUAAGAUAUCCAACGUCAAAACCCCAUUAAUAGUGAGUUUAGGAUUUGAUUAUACAUAACAUUAAGUACUUAUUCUCACUUAUUACCUAGAAGCAAAUGGAUUUCAUGAUAAACCUUGCAUCUGAGCCUUUGCUUGCCGGGGGAAAGGAAGUCCAGUGCACUUGCCAAAUAAAUAGGUUGGAGGAAGGCCACUCUGAUGACAACUUGUUCACUAAGGUCCAUAUUGUCGUAAUUCGUAUAUAAUGUCUUGUAACAUAUAAUAACUCAGAAAGUUAAUGAUCGCGAGUGAGCUUCGGUUCUUAUAUGAUGCAAUGCCUAUGAAUUCCCUGAGAAAUUUAGGGGCAACUCGAGCGAGGAUACAAGUUCUCGCCCAAAUAAUUUGGUUUCUUGAAGUAAACCCUAACCAAACUUCUUCUGACCAAACAACACAAGAAAAGGCCACCAAACAGAUGCAAGGUGAAACGUAAAUGGUUGCUUCCUAUAAAAGGUCAACAUUAUGUACAUGCCCACCUGUAUACAUUUGAUUCAAAACCCUCGUCUACAAUCUCCGAUUUCCGUUGGUCUGAUGGGUAGUUGGAUUUGAUACCGUGCCGCUUUCCGAUACUUCCAGCAAGCAAGCUAUUUCCAUCUUCUAGUUCACUCUAAUUACAGAGAACUUGUCACCCCCUCUCCCUCCCUCUCUCCCUCCCUCUUUUAAGUUUUGGCCUUUUUUCGUCUUUUUAACUUUUGGAGGGGAGGGAUUUGACCUAAAUCUCUCCCUCCCCUCUUUAUUGCUUUUUUUUUUUCUCUUAUUUCUUUCCUUACUCUCCGAAUCUAGAUUUAGAUUUGGGAUUUUGAUCUCCCAAUCUUAGGUUUGAGAGUUUUUCUCUCUAAUCUAAUUUUAGAUUUAAGAGUUUUAAUGAACAAGUACUUCACCUCCAAUCUCAAUGGUGUUCACAGUAGUUUCGGUGUCAAAUUUGUACUCGUUCAAUUUUGGAUAGCUCGCUUUCACAGGUCUUAUAUUGUAGGAGGCCUGUGUCACCAAUUGAAACGGACAAAACAUGUACAGCCUUAGAUAGAAAUUUUAAAAAAAUCACUUUUUUUUAAUAUGUGUCCAACCAUUCUUUCUUGAAUUUAACACAUAUUGGCACGCCAAUUCUCGUUCGUUUGAUUUUAAUUAUGUAUUUUAAACUUAAUUAUACUUUUUCAAUAAGAAAAACUCAUUCAUGUUUUAUUAAAGUGUUUCGAGUAUAAAUAAUGUAUUUUCUAUUACUCAUAUUUCAUAUUACAUAUAUUGUAAUACAUGUUUUUAUUUUUAAAAAUGACUUCAGGCCAAUCCAGGCCAUUUCUGGCUCGAAAAUCUCGGGCCCGAAGGCCCAAACCCGCUCGGAUGGAAAAAGUAUAUAUGAUAAACUCGAAAUUCUAGCUAUGGCAUUAGCCUCCAAAAUUAGGCUAGUCUACGCUUUCGGGCUUCGGCUCUUUCUUCUUCCCUUCUUUUGAGCUGGGAUUUAUUUUUAGUUUAAUUUUUUUGCAAAAAUUUGGGCGUGUUUUGACAAAACUGCCCUUGAUUUGCUUAAUAUUGGGUACCUUGAUAAUUCGUUCAAUUAAGUAUCCUUCCAAUAUAUGGCUCAACGUGGCCCUUCUGGCAAAUAAAGUGCCACGUCAUCAAGCUUUUGCUGACUUGGCUUGUCCACUCACUGAAAAAAAACUGCAUUUUUGCUCUGUUUCUUAUGUUUAAUGUUCAAUUCACUCAUCAAUCAACAACACAUUCAAUGCGUCGGGGACAAGGUUUAUGAUGUAGCCUGUGUGUUGCAUCAUUGUCCUUGCAAAAACAUGACCUUAAAAUUGAACAUGUGUUCGUCUUGUCCAUUGCAUUUCCAUAAAUUGGGAUUAUAAACUCAAUUCGAAAAUGAAUUUUAAUAAACUUCCCAUAUCUCCUUCCAUGUUUUUUGUUCGACAUGCGACCCUAAUGCUACUCACUGUCAUGCCAGGUGUCAUCACUUGUCUAGCGAUGGGUGCUGCACUGUCAUUUGCUGCACUUGGUGCCAUCAAUCCUAGCAUCUGUGCUGACACCUCUCUUCCACUUUAGGUAUUGUAUACAAAAAAGAAAAAGAAAAAAAAGACAAUUUUUGUAAUUAACAUGGGGUUGAUUUGAGCGAGUAUAGAACUCGGUGUUAAAUUCGACUUAGUUAUUGGUAAUUUGCCAAUAAUAUAAAUAGUUGUUGAUCACAUGAUAAUUAUUGAUGACUAAGGAAUAUAGAUGUCGACAUACGAUAGUGUGAUUGGUCAACAAUUAUCACUUAACGGGUUGGGUAGGUGUUGAAUAUAGAGGAAAGGAAGAAAGAGGACAAAGUGGGAAUGUGGAUUGAAGAUAAAGAUUCCAAUUAAGGGUCAAACCUGGUGACGCUUAAGGAGUUGUAACUGCUUGUUGGUAAGGUCGAUGUGCGAUUAUAGAGCCUAAAAAUAUGAAGAUGUGGUUGUAAUGUUAUACUUUUUAGUAGCCUAUAUAAAGCCGUGUGUAAUUGUUAUGAGGACAUAACUACCAUCACAAUAACUUAUUUAUUUUCACAAUUUAUCCAUACUCACAUUUCAUUCCCUUGAAAAUUUAAUUAUUCUCGAUCAUUAUUAUGCAAUUCAAUUUUUGUCCGAAUCACCGCUAGACCUGUUCAAUAAAAAAUGAAGAUCAACCUUUGUGAAAUGUAUUUCACCGAUUUGGACAGCUUUCAAUCUCUAGUGAAACAUAUAUCUAGUGCUAACUUCCAUAAACUAGGCAUUGCGUUUUCUAGAAAAUUCCAUAAUAAAAUUCUUUGAUCCCAUCCGAUUCACUAAGACAUCGAGAAAAGCAAAUAGUGUUUCACAAAAUUUUGGAUAUGAUAAUUGAAUCGGUAUAAUAUUUACAAUCUUAUGAAUAUAAAAAAAUAAAUUACUCGUGAUGAAUUAUUAGAUCCAAAAGUAAUAAAGAAUUAAGUGUACUAAUUUGUCAAAAAAAGUUUUGUUGACACCUAAAUUUUGGCGAUCCAUUUAGUCAUUUAUUACAUAAAAAUUAGGGGUUAAUUUUAUCCUUAAAAAAAUAUAUUAAUUGCAUAGCUACAUUUAGUUUGCAUAUUUUGCAUUUUAUUUACUGGACCGGUGGCGGAUGGAUCGAAUUGGUGGUUUUGAAUUUUAAAUUAAUAGGCCGGGCUAGGCCCAUGAAAUGAUAAAAUUAACCCAAGCCCGUCGUUGUUGUUUAAUUGAUUAUCUUGUGAAAAUUUAAGAUUUGAUGCGAUAUUAUGAUGAUUUUUGGAAAUUAAAAAAUCGCACUGUAAUCUUAAAGUUGGGAAUAUUAAGGAGGAUAAGGAAUAUUCUAAAAUAUUUUGUUGCAGAUGGAUAUCUCGAAAGAUUUUAGAAUUGGAUAAUAGAGUUUUAUCUAAAGUGAAUUAUUUGGAAAAUCUUCACAAAAAAAUUCCAGUUUAUCUUUAAUCGCUGAGUCAGCAUAUAAAAUCUUCAAUGGUCGAGCGAGUCAGCUUGGAAGAUUUUAAUAAAUGAUUUCAAUGGCCGAGUGAGUCAGCAUACACGAUAAUCUCGAAAGAUGAUCUUCAGCGAUUGAGUUGUUAUGCAAAUCUUCGUAGGUUGAGCAGACUAAGUUUUCACUCUAUAAAUGGGGGUGGCCUUCUCUUCGUCCGAGGGGGAGCUUUUUUUGAAAAAAUUCAGAAAUAAGGGAAGAGAAAGGUAAAAAGAAGCUUUGCUUCUGCAGUAAAAAAAAGAAAGAGAGAAAGAGUACGAAGGAAGAGGGAGAGUGACGUGAGAGAGGGAGAGAGAGGAAGAAAAGUCAAAAGGACAAAAAAGGAAAAGUCAGAACGUGAGAGAGAGAGAGGAGAAAAGGUAAAGUGAAAAGGGGGUGAUUUGACCCCUACUGUUCAUCGUCUCCCCCAACUUGCUGCCCACGUUGCUGCUCCAUCCGUGACGCUCGUUGCAGCUCCAUCCGCACUGCUCAGAGCUCCUUCGCCUCGCCACGCUGCAGGACGUGUGUGCGACCACCACCGCUCCUCGCCUUCCACGAAGCCCGACGCCCUCCUCCGCUUUUCGCCGGUAAUCGAUCCGCUCAACGUCGCCUGCUGUUACUCGGAGCCGAAGCCCUGCGACCACUGCCCAUUCCCCUUCCGACGUUGCUGCGGCUCCUGUUCUGCUCGUUGUCGCGCCUACUGCGUCUCCACCACCGCCGGCAGUUGAACCGCAAGCCAUCGCCGCUCCGCCGGUUGUCCGCGACCGCCCAGCGCCGAUUUGCCUCUCACCAGUCCGACGGAGCUACCGCCUUGCCGCACCGCAACCCAGCCGUGCUGACUCGUGUGCCCUGCUCUGAGUACUGCCCGUGCCCCAAAAUCGCGACGCCACUGGAGCCCCAAAUCAGUCGUACCGCCGAGCCGAUUUGCCCUCUGUUCGCGAUCUGCCUGCAACCCGCGCUGGUCCGAGAUCUGCCGUCUUGCCCCGCCGCGCCUCCUUCGCCCGUGCCGCCCCUGUCUCGCCUGACCCGUGACCAGCUGUGCCUGCUGCGGCCCUUGCCGGAGUUCCCCUUCGCCGGACCUUCGCCGGACCGAUUGACCCGCUGCCCUUGGAGACCCACGGUUACAAGCAGGAAAAGAAAAACAAAAAAAGAAAAGGAAAGGGAAAUUAGGUAGUUUUAUUCUUUUUCUAUUUACUUUAUUUUAUUUAUUUCUUUUAAGUUCAGGAGUAAUCUUUAUUUUAUGGAUUUUGUAGGCAUUAUCCAUAGGUCUUCCCCAAAAUUAUUGUAAUUACUAAUUUGAUCCGUAAGAUGUCGGAUAAUUUUUUUAAUUAUAUUAAUUUUUGGGGUUUGUUGAUAUGUUUUAAGUGCUGGAUCAAUGUAAUUAUUAAUUUGAUCCGUAAGAAUUCGGAUCAGAUUUUUGGUUAUUUUGAACUCUUUGUCGUGAUAAUUAGGGUUAUGAUAAUCGUUAAUUUGACAUGUGAGACAACGGGUUAUUUUUUCCAAUUAUUUUAAUUCUUUAUUUGAUUGCAUAUCUUGAUUGUUUAGAUUUAAUGUUUAGCUGAUAAUUGCUUGUUUUGGAUAAUCACUAAAAAAAUCAAAAAAAAAUAUUCGAAUUAAGAUUUAGUUUGUUUUAGAAUAUUUCUUGUUAUCUUGCAUAUCUAGGAUAAGGAUUUCAGUUUGAAAAAUAUAAAAAAUGCAUUAAUUUAGGAUUUUAGUUGCAUGUUUAAUUACGUGGCAAUUUUAAAUUUUGAAUUUUAAAUAAAAAAUAAAAGAUAAAAAAUAUCAUGCAUAUGUCAUGUAGAAUUAGGGCUUGCUCCGCACGUCAUUGCAUAUUAGAUCUAUUACAUGUUAGAUUAAGAUAAUAUCUUAAUUUAAAUUAGGAUUUAAUGUGACUUAAUCCUUAGUUUAAAUUAGAUAGAAUUUUAAUCUAGCUAGAUCAUUUUUGCAUUUUUAAAUAGAAAUAUCAAAUGCACGUCAUUUAGUUUUUAUUAGGUUCAUUUAAUUAGAACUUCCUUGUCAUUAGACUAAAUCAUUUAAUAAAUGUCGCAUGAUAUAUAACUCGAGUGCUAAAUUAUUUGCGGCAUGUCAUCUUAGUUUAAAUAAUUUUGUAUGUCAUUGCAUCGCAUUGCAUGUCAUUAGAAUUAGGUCAUUUAGAUUGCAUUUAAUUAUUGCAUUUCUUCAUGUCAUAUAGUUUAGGUCAUGCUGCCAUGUCAUAUUGGAUUAUUAACAUGCAUUGCAUAAGUCAUGAUUUUCAUUAAAUAAAAUGAAAACAAAAAUUGAAAUUGCGUGUUAAUUAGAAAUCAUAUCUAGGGCUGCUGAUGCGAAUUCUGAUUUAACAAUGCAGAUGCUUUCGUUGCUCCUAGGUAUGUUUUGCAAUAUUUAAUUGCUUUCUUGAGUGUUAAAUUGGUGGUAUGCGCACAUGUUUGAUCACCUCACAUAUUAGGAAGUUAGUUUAAAAUCAAUUCAAUUGCCAAAUAUUUUUGAAAAUGAAAAGAAUGGUACCGAAAGGGCAUUAGAGAAAUCUAAUGUAAUCAAGUCCCCGUACCCUUAGUCUUUAGUUCGUAGGAGUAAAGUAAUUAUCCCAUUAUUUUACUUAGGUAUCUAAUCGACCUAUCAUAAACUGAUUAGUGGCGACUCCUAAAUAAAAUCAAUUUUCAUGUUAAGAAUUCAAACCUAAGUCGCGAAUUGGUAUGGGCUUGGGAGAGCCCGAGUUAAGUUUAGGCUUAACAAUCCAUUAACCUAAUUUUAGGUGAUUCACACCCCGCGAAAAAUUCCGGUCGCGACAAGUUUACUAAACAAUUAUUCAGUUAAUUAAAUCGUGAUGAUGGCAUAAGCUAAAGUAGGCUACAGUGAGAUUAAAUGCUUCUUUUCUUUUUUCCUAUUAUUAUUUUCAAUAAAAACAAGUUGACCGUCCAUUCUUUCUGUCAGGGGGGUGUCGACAUAUUUCGGGGGGGAGCUUUGGACUUUUGCUCGGGGCGACGGGGUUUGAAAAGAUCGAGGGUCGUGUCGGCUCGGGAUGAGUUCAUGAUGUCGUCAUUCUGCAGCGCCUGAUCUUGUCUCCGCCGGGCCCUUCUUUUACGGUUUUGCCCUUACUCGCUCUGUAUCUCCCACGAGCUGCCACUGGAACCUAAUAUGAAAGAGUGCUUUAAAAAAAAAAAAAGCAGAAUAGAUAAGUACACUUAAAAUCCCACGUCCUAAAAGUGUAGUCAAGCCCUUAAAAUUUUAGAAAUUUGAAAGAUUUAAAAAAAAACAAUCAACAAAAUGACUUGAUUUAAUUAAUUUAAAAAAAUUUAUGAUUUAAUUGUACUUUUUAAAAAUUUUCAGAUUAAUAAAUUUUAAUACUUGAUUGGAUAUUUUUAAAGUCUUAUAACUUUCGUCAUAAAUUUUAAGAUUUCCAUUACACUUAUGAAUAUAUAUAUAUAAAUUCUUGUUCUUGCCUUGCCCUCCAUUGGUCUAGCUGCAAAUUUUUUUUAAGUACCAUCAAAGGUUGAUCAAACAUUUGUUUUUGUGAAUUUUCUAUAUUUUUCGUUUGAAGGGACAUGUUCAGGUCGAGUUUGAUUUAAAUUGAAAAUGAUAAAGAGUUUCGACAACGGUUAAAAGAGCUUUAGUUAGCUUGAUUUUGAUAUAUGACCUUUUACUAACAAGAGAUGGAUGUAUUUAUUUGGAAUCCAAGGCAUUACCGUCUGUUGCAUACCACAAACAAAGGAACCUCUUUUUUCCGGACUUGAUUAAUCGAGUCGAAGAAAUUGAAUAGGGUUUUAUCUAAUAAAUAAUUCUAGCAUUAUAGCUAAAAAAAAAUCUUGACUAAUAUUAGACACAUAUGAACUUUUCGAAUUGUAUGAUAGGAACUUUACAAAGUAAGGCCAGCCUUCGUUUCAAAGUUAUCAUCUCUCCCUCUAUAAAAGUUGUAUUCCUUGGAUAAGCUAUCAACAACAAUAAAGCAUAAAAAGUUUAAGCGGAGGAACGUUUUGCAAAAGAGCAUAUUUCACUAUCUUUUCAUGUGUCACUAGAGGAGCACCGCACAUCUAGUUUGACAAAAGGGCAUUUCGAUAAAUCCACCCCAAACCUAAAUCGGCCCAUUCGCCGAGUUCUCUUGCCUGUUCACAUGGCCAUCCUAUCAAAUAAAGUGCCACGUCAUCAUGUUUUGCUGACUUGGCUUGUCCACUCACCGAAAAUUCUUCAUUUAUGUCUCAUAUAUGCAAUGUACAAUUCAUUCAUCAUUCAACAGCCCUGCACGAGGCAGGACAAAAGUCUGAGAGUGAGUGUAGAGUAGGAAUAGGAAAAAAAAAAAAAAUAGCCCGUUAAAUGCAAGGAGGUGUGGGGUCCGUGACAUGGGAAGGGGAAUCGACUGAAAUUCUAAAAGCCCAUUUUGGUAGCCUGCAUGCUGCAUCAUCAUCCUUGCAAAACCAUAGCCUUGAAAUUGAACCUAUGCUCGUCUUGACCAUUGCAUUUCCACAAAUUUGGGAUUAAAAACUCAAUUCGAGAAUGGACUUUAAUGAACUUCCCAUCUCUCCUUCCACACUUUUUGUUCGACAUGCCGCUCUUAUGCUACUCGCCGCCACACCCAGUGCCGUUGCUUGUUAGUGAUGGGCAUUGUUAUUUCUUGCACUUAGUGCCAUCACUCUUAGGAUUUGUGCGGACAGCUUUGUCUUGCUCUUUAGGUACUAUUUACACAAAAAAAUGACCAAGUUUUUGUAAUCAAUAGAUGUCGAUUUGAGUGAGUAGAAAGCUUGGUGUUAAGUUUGAUUUGGUUAUUAGUAACUUACCAAUAACAAAAAUACUUGUCAAUCACAUGAUGAUCAUUGAUGAAUGAAGAACACAAUCAUCAACAUAUAACAGUCAUCGAUCAUCGAUUAUCACUUAAUGAGUUGACUAAUUGUUGAACACAUAUGAAAUAAAAAAAGAAAAAGAAAAAAGAGGACAAAUUAGGGAUGCCAUUUGAAGACAAAGAUACCAAUUAAGGGUUAGGUCCAUUGGCAUUUGAGGAGUUGUAAUCACCUAGGUAAGGUUGAUGUAGAUAAUGGAGCCUAAAAAUAUGAAGAUGUAGUUGUAAUUUAUGAGCAAAUAUCCUUUGUAGUAGACUAUACAAAGCGGUGCGCAAUUGUUAUGACAAAAACCCAUUUAUUUUCUCAACUCAUCAAUUUUUAGCACUCGCAUUUCUUUUCUUUCAUAAUUAAUUGUUCUUGAUCCUUAUCACGCAAUUCAAUUCCUUUUUGAAUUGCCACCAAACCUGUUCAACCAAAAAAACCAAACAUCAGCUUCUAGUGAAAGGUAUUUUUGUUGAUUGUGACAGAUUUGGCUUUUGUAGAGAAAUAAAUAUUGAAUGCAACUUUUAUAGCCCAUGCAUUGCGUUUCAAAGUACUUUCUAAUUAAUUCUUGAGCUCAUAUGAUUCGCUAAGAUUGUAUAUGGUAUAUUUCUUUACCUUUAUUGAUUCAUCGAUUGCGACAUGUCCGGCUUUCCUAGCAGAACAGGUACUAGAUGCAAUUUUCAUAAUUCAUAUAUUGCAUUUUAGAAUAUUUUAUAAUAAAUUCUUGAGCCCAUUCAAUUCACUAACAUGGUAUAAAAAUAUACUUUUUACCUUUGUCCAGGAAAGCAAAUAGGGUUUCACAUACUUAUUAAAUCUAAUAAUCCAAUUAGCACCAAUAUACACAAUCUUAUGAAUACAAGAAAUAACAACACAUGUAAAAAUUAUUAAGUGCUAUAUUAUUUUAAGUGUACUAAAAAAUCAUUCAGCUAACUGAAUCGUGAGGAUGGCACGAAGCAGGGAAAGAGCAGAUUAUACCGCAAAUUGUUUUUUUUUCUUUUUUUGGGGGUCGUGCACGCCGCAAUUUAAGUGUUUAUUUAUUUAUUAUUUAUUAUUACAUAAAGAAAACAAAUCGACCGUCGAUUUUGUCAAGGGAGUGUCGACAUAUGUCGCGGGGAACCGUUUGGGACUUUGUUCGUGGCACGGGACUUCAAAGAUCCGAGGGCGGGUACCGGCUCGGAUGAGUUCAUGAUGUGUUCAUCCUCCAGCAACGCGAGUUUUGUCUCCGCGGGGCCCAUUUUGUUUUACGGUUUUGCCCUCGCACUCCCUCCGUAUUUCCCACGAGCUGCCACUGGAACUUGGAGAUGGAGAGAGCCUUUUUUUGGCAGAAUCUUUCUUCACUUCUCUCGCCUUGUCCUUCAUCGGUUUGGCAGUAAAAUUUUUAUUUUUAUAGUGCUUUCGAAGCAUUGUGUCGGAUAAUUCAUGCGACUAAUCGAGUGUUGAGUUUUUGUGAAUUAUUUAUAGGAAUCGCAUAAUUAGGUUAAGUUUGAUUUAAAUCAAAAAUGAUAUAAAGCUUGAUAGCCUCUCAUGUCGAAAUGGAGUUUUUUUUUGGAUCUGGAAAAGUACUAUUAAUUACAUUAAAAGUUCUUCGAAAGUGGCCCAAAAAGGGGCAUCAAAAUAUGUUAAUCUCCACAAAAGCUGUGGACUGAAUUAACCAAGAAAAUAAAAGAAUAUCUAAACGAUGGGCCUUGGCUACUUGAACAGUAACUUAAUUAGCCAUUUCAUUGUAACAUAUGAGGAUCGAUUGAAUAAAUUGAAAUAUCAAAUUAUAUUAUGAAUAUUAAUAUUUUCAUUUAUUUGGUUGAACCCGAUUGAUCGGGUCGAAGAAAAUAAAAUAGAGUUUCAUCCAAUAAAUAAUUCUAAGCAAUGACAAGAUCAUUUGAUUAGAAGUUAUCAUCAUCUCUCCCUCUAUAAAGGUUAUAUAUUCCGAAGAUAAACCUAUCAACGCUAGAGCAUGAAAAGUUCAAGCGGAGCACUCAACGUCUUCCUCACCUUAGCUGAUACGCUACUCUGUAGAAGGGGCAUUUCCGUAAAUCCACCCUUCGACAUUAUUCAGCUCCCCUCUCCUUACGUAAGGCCCCCCAAGACACCCCAAACCUAAAGCUCUCUCUCUCUCUCUCUCUCUCUCUCUCUCUGCAAAGUCUUUUGCCAAUGCCGGCGACGAGGACGACCUGACAGAGGAGGAGGAAGCAUGGCGAAGUUCUUUGGGGACGCGGCGUCGGUGCUGACGAAGGUGCUGAUGAGGAAGAGCGUGAGCCUGUUCGCCUAGUUCUCUUGCCUCUUCACCGACCUCGCCUCCGUCGUCGUGUCGGCUCUCCGGUUCUCCACCAUCAUGGCCAGGCAACCUUCUUCUUUCCCUCCUCAUCCUUCUCCGUCUUCCACUUCUGCUGCUGCUGCUUCCACCUCUGCUUCUUCCGCCAGAAGGUACUCUCCGAUCCUGAUGUCCAUGGCCAUCCGACAUCGUGUGUCCUGAGCUCGAUCGAUGCGGUUGAUUUCUUGCCCUCUUGUCUUUUGGGGUCGGUCUACGUGGGGGUCUUCGGAACUGCCCAUGAUUCGUUCGUAUGGCGAUGAGGGGAAUCUAUGCAAUUCUCUGGUUUCCCAGAUGCAAAAUGUUUGUUCUUCUUGAAGAUGGCGCGGUUCUUGCUGGGGCUGCUAUUUGGUACGCCAGUUUGUGUUUAUGAUUAUUGCUCGCGCUUGCGGAUCUAACAGAGGGACUCGACCAGUCCCGGAUCGUGAUUUCAAGCCGCUGGACGGGUUUGAGAUUUCAUUAUGUACAGGAUCCUGUAGGCUUGCGACCGAUCUGUGAUCUGUCUCGCAGAUGAUUAGGAAACUCGAAUUCAACGAGUCGUUUUACUCAAUUGUGUGAUGAGUUGCUUCAUGUAUCAGAAUAUGUAAUAAUCGAUAAUUACUGAUUUACUCCUUUUCCUUUUGACAAUGUAAACAAUGAUUUUUCCAAUCAUCGUGAUCGUCUGAAUUUAGGAAAUUAAGGUGGUUUUAUUAGAUUGUUGACACCCAAAAAUGGCAAAGUUUUGUGGAAUAGCCGACGAGCAGGGUUUGGUCGACAAGAACAAGAUUUGGUGUAAGAAUUAAGACAGUCGAGAAGAUCGGCAAGUCGAUGUCUAGCAUGAUCGACAAGAUUCUUCAUUGAGAAUUUAAGAAUUGAUUGAUAACAACAGACUCUAUUAGAUUUCGACCAAGUAUAAGAGGACAAUCGAUGAAUGGAGUGAA